Oncorhynchus tshawytscha (Chinook salmon) is the source of this 611-nucleotide long non-coding RNA. NCBI's taxonomy places the organism in Eukaryota, Metazoa, Chordata, Actinopteri, Salmoniformes, Salmonidae. The record is from Ensembl.
UGUGAGCUCAAAAUGAGAGGAAAAUAAGGUUUUUGUGUGUAUGGAACAUUUCUGGUAUUUUUUAUUUCAGCUCAUGAAAUAUGGGACCAACAUCAAAUCUAUUUAUAAAGCCCUUCUUACAUCAGCUGGUAUCUCAAAGUGCUGUACAGAAACCCAGCCUAAAACCCCAAACAGCAAGCAAUGCAGGUGUAGAAGCACAGGGGCUAGGAAAAAACUCCCUAGAACAUGUGUUUAUAUUUUUGUUCAGUGGUGGAACUGGCUAUAUGUCCUUCAGUAGGUACUACUUAUGGGAUGAAGAUGCAACAUUCUGGCAAUGUAUGUAUGAUAUUUGUGAGACAGAUCAUGCUUUCCAUCAGAUCCUGCAACCUCCACUGGAAACAGAUGUUUGUCCGCUGCUUUCGCCGUACCUGGAAGAGAGCCAGCUCUUCUCAAGACCACCUCCAGGUAUCGGCGACAAGCGGACCGCCACCAGACCACGGCUCCCUGGUAUUGUCUCGGGCAGAGGUUUUCCUGGUUUUGACCAUUCUGCCUGCCAGCCGUUCUCUACAUUGUCACACCACCCUGGAUUAUUGACCUCUGUCUGCCCUUGACCUGUCAUUUGCCUGCUCCCC